CCUACGGGAGGCUGCAGUGAGGAAUAUUGGUCAAUGGACGCAAGUCUGAACCAGCCAAGUAGCGUGCAGGAUGACGGCCCUCCGGGUUGUAAACUGCUUUUAGUUGGGAAUAAAAGGGGGCUCGUGAGCCCCAUAUUGUAUGUACCAUCAGAAAAAGGACCGGCUAAUUCCGUGCCAGCAGCCGCGGUACUACGGAAGGUCCGGGCGCUAUCCGGAUGUAUUGGGUUGAAAGGGAGCGUAGGCCGGCGUUUAAGUCAGCUGUGAAAGUCCGCGGCUCAACCGUGGGAUUGCAGUUGAAACUGGAGGCCUUGAGUGCACACAGGGAUGCCGGAAUUCAUGGUGUAGCGGUGAAAUGCUUAGAUAUCAUGAAGAACUCCGAUCGCGAAGGCGAGUGUCCGGUGUGCAACUGACGCUGAGGCUCGAAAGUGCGGGUAUCAAACAGGAUUAGAUACCCUUGUAGUC
This 462-nucleotide ribosomal RNA is filed under the name uncultured bacterium. RNAcentral's name for it is "partial 16S ribosomal RNA". It matches the Rfam family "Bacterial small subunit ribosomal RNA", at positions 338 to 795 of the family's 1533-position model. The record is from RNAcentral.